UUUAUGGAGAGUUUGAUCCUGGCUCAGGAUGAACGCUGGCGGCGUGCCUAAUACAUGCAAGUCGAGCGAACGGACGAGAAGCUUGCUUCUCUGAUGUUAGCGGCGGACGGGUGAGUAACACGUGGAUAACCUACCUAUAAGACUGGGAUAACUUCGGGAAACCGGAGCUAAUACCGGAUAAUAUUUUGAACCGCAUGGUUCAAAAGUGAAAGACGGUCUUGCUGUCACUUAUAGAUGGAUCCGCGCUGCAUUAGCUAGUUGGUAAGGUAACGGCUUACCAAGGCAACGAUGCAUAGCCGACCUGAGAGGGUGAUCGGCCACACUGGAACUGAGACACGGUCCAGACUCCUACGGGAGGCAGCAGUAGGGAAUCUUCCGCAAUGGGCGAAAGCCUGACGGAGCAACGCCGCGUGAGUGAUGAAGGUCUUCGGAUCGUAAAACUCUGUUAUUAGGGAAGAACAUAUGUGUAAGUAACUGUGCACAUCUUGACGGUACCUAAUCAGAAAGCCACGGCUAACUACGUGCCAGCAGCCGCGGUAAUACGUAGGUGGCAAGCGUUAUCCGGAAUUAUUGGGCGUAAAGCGCGCGUAGGCGGUUUUUUAAGUCUGAUGUGAAAGCCCACGGCUCAACCGUGGAGGGUCAUUGGAAACUGGAAAACUUGAGUGCAGAAGAGGAAAGUGGAAUUCCAUGUGUAGCGGUGAAAUGCGCAGAGAUAUGGAGGAACACCAGUGGCGAAGGCGACUUUCUGGUCUGUAACUGACGCUGAUGUGCGAAAGCGUGGGGAUCAAACAGGAUUAGAUACCCUGGUAGUCCACGCCGUAAACGAUGAGUGCUAAGUGUUAGGGGGUUUCCGCCCCUUAGUGCUGCAGCUAACGCAUUAAGCACUCCGCCUGGGGAGUACGACCGCAAGGUUGAAACUCAAAGGAAUUGACGGGGACCCGCACAAGCGGUGGAGCAUGUGGUUUAAUUCGAAGCAACGCGAAGAACCUUACCAAAUCUUGACAUCCUUUGACAACUCUAGAGAUAGAGCCUUCCCCUUCGGGGGACAAAGUGACAGGUGGUGCAUGGUUGUCGUCAGCUCGUGUCGUGAGAUGUUGGGUUAAGUCCCGCAACGAGCGCAACCCUUAAGCUUAGUUGCCAUCAUUAAGUUGGGCACUCUAAGUUGACUGCCGGUGACAAACCGGAGGAAGGUGGGGAUGACGUCAAAUCAUCAUGCCCCUUAUGAUUUGGGCUACACACGUGCUACAAUGGACAAUACAAAGGGCAGCGAAACCGCGAGGUCAAGCAAAUCCCAUAAAGUUGUUCUCAGUUCGGAUUGUAGUCUGCAACUCGACUACAUGAAGCUGGAAUCGCUAGUAAUCGUAGAUCAGCAUGCUACGGUGAAUACGUUCCCGGGUCUUGUACACACCGCCCGUCACACCACGAGAGU
RNAcentral lists this ribosomal RNA (1429 nucleotides) under Staphylococcus aureus. Its description in RNAcentral is "bacterial SSU rRNA". It matches the Rfam family "Bacterial small subunit ribosomal RNA". The record is from RNAcentral. Lineage: Bacteria; Bacillati; Bacillota; Bacilli; Caryophanales; Staphylococcaceae.